GGGUACACGCUUGUACUAAAUGUUUUGCUUAUCUGAAAUUGAGAGUUACCUGGGCACUUCGUAUCUUAUUUGGGACAGGGAGGGGUGGGAGAUGGUGGGGUUUCGACUUGGGGUCUCUCAGGCCAGAAACUCUGUGUUUCAGUCCUGACUACCACUCACUGGUCCCACAACCCCAUUGGGUUACUCACAGCUCAGCCUGGGUUUCCUCCUCGGCCUUGACAUUACCGCCCGCAUAAGGCUGGUGUGAGGAUUCCCUGAGAUGACCUUGUAAAGCCUUUAGCUGGGGGCUGGGCGCCGAAAGGACUCAAUACGCGCUCCCUGUGUGUGUCCUCCACUGAGGCUGGGUGCGCAGAGGAGCUGUAAUCAAUCAUUAGCCACGUGUCUCAGGCAGCAGGUCUCAGACACUGGGGGUCUCAGGGCCCCUUAGCGUUUAAAAAAUCAUUGCAGGCCCAGAGCUGUUGUGUAUGUGUAUAUCGACAUUUGCAGCGAUGGAAAUUAAAGCUGAGAAAAAACAGAGGUCUUUAUGCAUUCGUUGCUUCAUGACAACGAACUCACUGUACUCACAGGAAUAAUGCACUUUUUUUUAAUGAAAAAUAGCUCUGUCUUAAAACCAGCAAAGCAGCCCAAAGAGUGGCCUUGUGUUUCACUUCGCAGCUCUCUUGAGUGAGGUUAACACAAGGCCAGCUGGGUUAUCACACCUGCCAGGGCUUUGAAGCUCUCGCGAGAUCACGCCUCACGUAGCCUCUGGAAAACUCCGUGGAACACCUGCCUGCGAGAAAGUGAGAGUGAAAAAUGCAAAUCUCUUACUAUCAUCAAGAAAGUAGUUUUGAUCGUUUGUUCUCUGGAUCCCCUGAGAGGUUCUGGGACCUCGCUUUGAGAAUCCCUGUCUAGGACUCCUUUUGGGAAGAUGCCCCCUGCCCCGCCGACCCCUGAGCCUCACCUGGCCGCGAUGGCGGUGGGGCUGCCCCAGGCCUGGGCGUCGAGGUGGUGGUCCGGGCGCUGCCCACUCCGCGGCGGGCCUUCCCAGCUGCUGUCGGCGCUGAAGGCAACGGGGUGUCCCGCUGGUAUCUGCAUCCAUCCCCCCAUCUCUCCAGGAGCGUCGUCGUGGCGACCAGCGGCCACCUUGUCAAUGGAGCAGAUGGGCCUGUGACCACGUCCGGGGGCUCCAGCUGUCCCUGCCACCCCCCUGAGCAGCCCCCAGGGGAGGCCACCUCUGUCCCCCAGGCCUGGGCCCCAGAAGCCCACCUGAGCCCACUGCCCCCCAGCCUCGGCCCGGGUAGGGGCCUGGCACGUCUGGGAGUGGAUGUGCGUCUUCACUCGCUCUUUGUUAUUGUUGUUUUUAUUUUUAUUAAAAAUGUUUUUUUUCUUGAGACAGAGUUGGUAGACAGUAUUAUGUAAGUUUCACGUGUACAACAUCAUGGCUCACGGUUUUUACAGGUUCCACCCGCUCACAGUUGUUAUAAAAUACGGGCGGCAUUCCCUGUGCUGUGCACGGUGCCUCUGUGGUUCCUUUAUUUUACACGCAGCCCCUGUCCUGCCCUCCCCACUCCCCUCUCCCCGAGAGUAGCCGGUGGCUUGUGCUCUGUGCGGGCGAGUCUGUUUCCUUUUGUUAUACUCGCUAGCUGUCCUUUUUAGAUUCCAGGUAUAACUGAUAUCACACACUAUUUGUCUCUGACUCAUUUCACUUAGGGUGAUGCCCUCCAAGUCCGUCCAUGUGGCUCCAAAUGACAAACUUUCAUUCCUUUUCACGAUUGAGCAGUAUUCCUGUGUGUGUGUGUGUGUGUGUGUGUGUGUGUGCGCGCGCGUGUGCACACAUAUGUACCAUAUCUUCUUUAUCCGUUCAUCUGUUCAUGGACGCUUAGGUUGCUCCGUAUCUUGGCAACUGUAAAUAGUGUUGCUAUGAACAUUGGGGUGCAUGUAUCUUUUUUCAAUUACUGUUUUCAUUUUUGUUAGAUGUACACCCAGAAGUGGAGUUGCUAGGUCAUAUGGUAGUUCUGUUUUUUAGUUUUUUGAGAAACCACCGUAUUAUUUUGCAGUGUCUGCACCAAUUUACAUUCUCUCCGAGAGUAUACAAGGACUCCGUUUUCCUGCAUCCUCACCAACAUUUGCUAUUUGCAGUCUUUUGGAUAAUAGCCAUUCUGACAGAUAUGAGGUGAUGGCUCAUUAUGGUUUGAAUUUGCAUUUCUCUGGUGAUUAAUGAUGUUGAGCAUCUUUUCGUGUGCCUGAUGGCCAUCUGUAUAUUUUCUUUGGAAAAAUGUCUAUUCAGGUCUUCUGCCUGUUUUUUGUUUUUUGUUUUUUAAUUAGAUCAGUUUUUUUGUCUGUUUCCAGUAUAAGCUGUUUAUAUACUUUGGAUAUUAACCCCUUAUCAGUCAUAUUUGCAAAUAUUUUCUCCCAUUCAGUAGAUUGUAUUUUCAUGUUGCUGAUGGUUUUCUUUGCCAUACAAAAGUUUUUACAUUUAAUUAGGUCCCAUUUGAUUCCUUGUUUGUUUUUUGCUUUGGAGACAGAUCCAAAAAAAAGUGUUGCUACCAUUUAUAUCAAACAGUGUUCUGCCUAUGUUUUCUUCUAGGAGUUUUAUGUGUUUUGGUCUUAUAUUUAAGCCUUUUAAUCCAUUUUGAGUUUAUUUUUGUAUAUGGUAUGAAAAAAUGUGCUCAUUUCCUUCUUUUACGCGUAGCUGUCCAGUUUUCCCAGCACCGCUUAUUGAAGAGACUGUGUUUCCUCUGUUGUGUGUUCUUGCCCUCUUUGCUGUGGGAUGAUUGGCCCCCAACGUGCGCUGUCUUUUCGUCUGCGUCUCC
Molecule: long non-coding RNA, 2792 nt
Organism: Bos taurus (domestic cattle)
Lineage: Eukaryota; Metazoa; Chordata; Mammalia; Artiodactyla; Bovidae
Source: Ensembl